GCCGACGUAGCUCAGUGGUAGAGCAACUGAUUCGUAAUCAGUAGGUCGCAAGUUCGAUCCUCGCCGUCGGCACCA
This 75-nucleotide transfer RNA is filed under the name Alphaproteobacteria bacterium. RNAcentral describes it as "tRNA-Thr". It matches the Rfam family "tRNA". From Rfam's summary of the family: Transfer RNA (tRNA) molecules are approximately 80 nucleotides in length. Lineage: Bacteria; Pseudomonadati; Pseudomonadota; Alphaproteobacteria. The record is from RNAcentral.